UGAGGUGUAAAACGGCCGUGUUGGCUGC
RNAcentral lists this non-coding RNA (28 nucleotides) under Homo sapiens (human). Lineage: Eukaryota; Metazoa; Chordata; Mammalia; Primates; Hominidae. The record is from RNAcentral.